CUUUCCAACGGGUACGGAACUGGAGCGGCCGCGCCUGCCCGCCUCCGUUCGGCGUGCGUGCCUCGGCAAGAAGUGAAGCUCAAGAUGAGUUUGUUGCUGGCUUUGGGAAUCCUUAGUCUGGACUCUGCCAUGCCUUGCAAGCAGAAAGAUGCCACGUGAAUUCUGGAACUACAGAAGCUCUGUGACAUCAGAUGACCACCUCCACUGUCUUCCAGCCUUGUGCCAGCAGGAGAGUCCACCCACUUGUAGAAGUGUGGGUGUUUAAGGAGUUUGAAAACAACAGCCUGGAAUGUGGAGUUCUAAUGUACUUGGAAAUGCUUCCAUUGUCCUUCCUGCUCAUCAGAAAUCCUGCUUGGUUCCAUAGUACGGCGGGGAGUAGCUGUUCACUGAAAAUGAAUAAUCUUGGAACGAAAUUCAGGAUAGAGUGUCACUCUGGAAAGAGAAGUGGCCUUCUGGGCAGUCUGAGAACUUAGUAUCAAUUUUUGAGUGUAUCAAAUAAAUGGAUCAAAAGUGAAUAAGGCAAAGAUUAAAAUGUGGGAAAAUUUGUGCCGUCUAAAUAAGUGUUUACAGUGUUAGUAGUGGGUAUGAAUAAAAUCUUGGAUUUCUGUUUUCA
Long non-coding RNA from Agelaius phoeniceus (red-winged blackbird), 613 nucleotides. RefSeq lists it as uncharacterized. Lineage: Eukaryota; Metazoa; Chordata; Aves; Passeriformes; Icteridae. The record is from RefSeq and is a predicted model, not a curated record.